Molecule: ribosomal RNA, 1048 nt
Filed under: uncultured Chloroflexota bacterium
Lineage: Bacteria; Bacillati; Chloroflexota
Description: bacterial SSU rRNA
Rfam family: Bacterial small subunit ribosomal RNA
Source: RNAcentral
GCUAUACAUGCAAGUCGAAUGGGAAUUUUUGGAUUCGUCUAGAGGGGAGAGUGGCGAACGGGUGAGUAACACGUGGGUGACCUGCCUCGAAGACGGGGAUAACCACUGGAAACGGUGGCUAAUACCCGAUGGUCUCGGUGAUUCGCUUCAUCGAGUAAAAGCUCCGGCGCUUUGAGAGGGGCCCGCGGCCCAUCAGCUAGUUGGUAGGGUAACGGCCUACCAAGGCAGAGACGGGUAGGGGGCGUGAGAGCGUGACCCCCCACACUGGCACUGACACACGGGCCAGACUCCUACGGGAGGCAGCAGUGAGGAAUAUUGCCCAAUGGGCGAAAGCCUGAGGCAGCAACGCCGCGUGGGUGAUGAAGGCUUUCGAGUCGUAAAACCCUUUUCUGGGGGAAGAGGAAGGACGGUACCCCAGGAAUAAGUCUCGGCUAACUAUGUGCCAGCAGCCGCGGUAAGACAUAGGAGGCGAGCGUUAUCCGGAUUUACUGGGCGUAAAGUGCGUUGAGGCGGCCCUGUAAGUUGGACGUGAAAGCUCCUGGCCCAACUGGGAGAGGUCGUUCAAUACUGCAGGGCUUGAGGACAGCAGAGGGGGGUGGAAUUUCCGGUGUAGUGGUGAAAUGCGUAGAUAUCGGAAGGAACACCAGUGGCGAAGGCGGCCCCCUGGGCUGUUCCUGACGCUGGAGGCGAAAGCUAGGGGAGCAAACGGGAUUAGAAACCCCGGUAGUCCUAGCCGUAAACGAUGGAUACUAGGUGUAGGGGGCGAAAAAACCUUCUGUGCCGAAGCUAACGCGUUAAGUAUCCCGCCUGGGGACUACGGCCGCAAGGCUAAAACUCAAAGGAAUUGACGGGGACCCGCACAAGCAGCGGAGCGUGUGGUUUAAUUCGAUGCCACGCGAAGAACCUUACCAGGGCUUGACAUGCAGUAGUAGUGAAGCGAAGCAGAACGAUCCUUCGGGAAGCCUGCACAGGUGCUGCAUGGCUGUCGUCAGCUCGUGCCGUGAGGUGUUAGGUUAAGUCCUGUACGAGCGCAACCCUUGCCGCUAGU